This is a long non-coding RNA of Homo sapiens (human), 717 nucleotides long. RefSeq lists it as uncharacterized. The record is from RefSeq and is a predicted model, not a curated record. The transcript has 3 exons. NCBI's taxonomy places the organism in Eukaryota, Metazoa, Chordata, Mammalia, Primates, Hominidae.
AGUGCAGAACGUACACCACCGCAGCGGUUGGGGGUGGGGGAGCCCCAAACCAGUGAAAUCUCAAGCUGAGCGUCUGGCUGGAGUUCAACAAGGCUCAGUGAACAGCACAGGAUGGGGAAGUUCAAAGUCAGGGCGACUCUUCUGGUCUUAACUUCCUAGAUUUUCCUAGAUCUGGGUGCCUCUGUGUAUAUAUUAACCUUCAUGCAUUUUUGCCCCCAGCAAUUGUGUACAGUCAGCUCCAAAGGCACAGCUUGUGUGCUAACGUGCAAAGCGAAGUCAAAACCCUGUGCUUGGCGCUCCCUUCUAACUUUCUGGCUUGUCCAAGUCUAAAUAUUGACAUCGCUCCUCAGUUGAGAUGUUUGAUACUGCUGGGGAUGGAAACGGUGCAGCUAACAGUAGGAUCUAAUGAUAUAUUUCUACAUAGUUGCCUUCCACUUCUUUUCGGGGGGCAGAGGGCUGGAUUCUCCUGUCUGCACAUCACCCCUUGGUUGUUUUCCCCAAAGCUGAGCACACACAGACAAGGUUCAAGGAACACAUUGUUCCCUCAAAAAACAGACCGGCAGCUGAGAGAGGAUGGCAAUCCUGAUGGAUGAGAAAAAGAACAGAGCUGUGGACACCUGAGAGAAGACUAUAGGACUUCAAACAUCAACCCAUUUCAGUUCUGAUGUCAGCAAGGAGAGAACUGGCAAACUGGGCCAACCGUUUGAUUGACACAUA